CAGCACCUCAAGUGGUCAGGAUGAUUAUUGGGCCUAAAGCAUCCGUAGCCGGCGCUGUAAGUUUUCGGUUAAAUCUGUACGCUCAACGUACAGGCUGCCGGGAAUACUGCAGCGCUAGGGAGUGGGAGAGGUAGACGGUACUCGGUAGGAAGGGGUAAAAUCCUUUGAUCUAUUGAUGACCACCUGUGGCGAAGGCGGUCUACCAGAACGCGUCCGACGGUGAGGGAUGAAAGCUGGGGGAGCAAACAGGAUUAGAGACCCGAGUAGUCC
Molecule: ribosomal RNA, 270 nt
Filed under: uncultured archaeon
Lineage: Archaea
Description: partial 16S ribosomal RNA
Rfam family: Archaeal small subunit ribosomal RNA
Source: RNAcentral